This is a transfer RNA of 72 nucleotides. It matches the Rfam family "tRNA". Rfam says of the family: Transfer RNA (tRNA) molecules are approximately 80 nucleotides in length. Their secondary structure includes four short double-helical elements and three loops (D, anti-codon, and T loops).
GCCCCGGUAGCUCAACGGUAGAGCACCCGGCUGUUAACCGGUAGGUUGAGGGUUCAAAUCCCUCCUGGGGCG